RNAcentral lists this small RNA (72 nucleotides) under Lutibacter oceani. Its description in RNAcentral is "Flavo-1 RNA". The record is from RNAcentral. Lineage: Bacteria; Pseudomonadati; Bacteroidota; Flavobacteriia; Flavobacteriales; Flavobacteriaceae.
UUAUUGCGUUAGGGAUGGCAGUGAAAAGCCCACAGCUUAAGCGAGGACUUGUUACGUACAGCCCGACCGUAG